Molecule: RNA transcript, 2435 nt
Organism: Sapajus apella (tufted capuchin)
Lineage: Eukaryota; Metazoa; Chordata; Mammalia; Primates; Cebidae
Exons: 3
Source: RefSeq, a predicted model, not a curated record
GAUUUAUAUAGAUUAUUUUCUGAAGCCACUUAAUGCUUUGAUUCUAGCUACCCAUUGUGAAAUAGUAAGUAAACAGUUUUACUGAAAUAAACUCUAUAGAUAGAUGCAGUAUGAGGAGCUAGUAAAGUAGAAAAUUUAUUUUGCUUUGCACAAAAAGUUUAUUUUAGCAGACAGCCUCAGGUAGGUUUCUAUAACAGCCAUUACCUUUGAAAUCUAUCUUCUGUAGUUUAAUAUAAAUAGGAAAAUAUCCUGAUUCUGUAGCAAGUAAGUUGUUUGCUCUUUGUCUUUUAAGAAAAACUAGGGGAAAAUGUUUCAAUUAGUCAUUCUUCCCAGUAGCUAAUGAAGCUGACUUUUAAAUGGAAGGCUGUGAGCUUUGCAGAUGCUGCCGCUGCUGCCCGGAGCCCCCUGCUUCCAGCCAUGGUCAACCCCACCAUGUUCUUCGACAUUGCCGUGGAUGAUGAGCACUUGGGCUGUGUCUCCUUCAAGGUAAGGGGCCUGGAAGUCAAGAAGUGACUGCUCAUCUAAUCCACGAAACUAUGUUAACAGAUUGGAGCUGUUUUUUGCAGACAAGGUUCCAAAGACAGCAGAAAACUUCCGUGCUCUGAGCAUUGGGGAAAAAGGAUUUGGUUAUAAGGGUUCCUGCUUUCACAGAAUUAUUCCAGGGUUUCUAUGUCAGAGUGGUGACUCCACAUGCCAUAACAGCAUUGGUGGUGAGUCCAUCUGCAGGGAGAAAUUUGAUGACAGGAACUUCAUCCUAAGCAUACAGGUCCUGGCUUCUUGUCCAUGGCAAAUGCUGGACGCAGCAUGAACACUUCCCAGUUUUUUAUCUGUACAGCCAAGACUCCGAGACUGAGUGGUUGGAUGGCAAGCAUGUGGUCUUUGGCAAGGUGAAAGAUGGCAUGAAUAUUGUGGAGGCCAUGGAGCACUUUAGGUCCAGGAAAGGCAAGAUCAGCAAUCGGCGAGAUGAUCACAUUGCUGAUUGUGAACAACUGUAAUUAAUUUGACUUGUGUUCAUCUUAAAAAAAAAAAAAAUACUGUGACAGACCAAGGUAAAUCGUUUUUGAUAAUUACAGAAGUGUGAUUUCGUAAUCAGCUCUCAAACAUAAUGUUCCUUAAUUUAAAAGCUCGAACACUAAAUUAUAAAUUGAAGUGGUUGGAAUAAUUACAGUCAUGUCUCUAGAAACAAGUCUUUAGUAGCAAAAAAGAAAUUAGCAAGAGAAGAAAACUCUUCAGAACUUUGAAAGGAAAUAGUUUUCGUUGAUAGAAGUUUUCUUAGAUGGAAAUUAACAUGAUAAAGAAGUGACAGGCCCGAUGUGGUGGUGCAUGCUUUUAACACCAACAGUGGGAGGCCAAGAUGGAAGGAUCCCUUGAGCCCAGGAAUUCAAGACUAGCCUGAACAACACGGCAAAACUCCAUUGCUACUAAAAAUUUAAAAAUUUAGCUGGACAUGGUGGCACCUGCCUAUAGCCACAGCUACUUGGGAAGCUGAGGUGGGAGGAUCGCUGGAGCCCAAGAGGUCAAGGCUGCAGUGAGCUGUGAUCACCGCUGUACUCCAACCCGGGCAAGAGUGAGACCCUGUCAAAAAAAAAAAAAAAAAAAAAGGAAGGGCCAACUAUUAUGAGGGUUUCUACUAAAACUUUUAAGUUGAUAAGAUGCAGAGAAUUGGGGGAAUGUAUAGUAAAUCAGAUUUCAUUUAGUUAGAUUAUUUACCACACAAAUCACUCUCCCCCUAACAUUUGUCAUAAGAGCCAUGUGUUCACAUGUACUAUAGACCAGUAUUUCACUGUGGAAACCACGGGUGGCGUGGCAAAGGAGGCAGUGUCCGUGACUGUGCCACUCUCCACAGGCCCCUUCCUGCUGUCCUGCUUCUUCUACUCCUCAGUGUCUGGACCGGCACUCUGGGUUUCCUUCCCAGCAGAAAACCAAAGGGCCAGAGAGGUCUAAAAACACACACCACUCGGCAGGUAAUAAUUUCCCCAUGUACUGUCUUGAACACACAGCCUUUCCCAAAAGACUGCUCCCUCCAGCUACUGAGGAAUGAUGACAAGAAAAGGCCGAAUUGCAGUGUCUCCAUCAGCAGUUUGCUCUCUCUAUGGGCACACAAUGACAAAAUAUCCUGAAGCGAACCAAUAGUCUGACCUCAGUAACAGGACUGGAAGCUUUGUGCCAUGGGAGUGGUCAAGAAAGGCAUCCCAAAGAUAACUGAGCGAUUUAAAAAUCAUAAUAGACCUUCAGGAAUAGGGUUGUAUUAUGGGCUAGUGAGAAGCCUGGGAACACCAGGAUUUUGUGUGGACUGAUUGCAGGUAUCAGAUCCAGGAUUAUACAGGUGAUUUGAAGAUUUUGAAGCUAGAAAUUGGAACUAGAAAAUCCCAAGAAUCCAAGGUGUCUUAACGUGACAGUUGAACUCAUUUGAUUAUACUUAAAAGCUUAUUGCA